CUGGAGGAAAACAUAUGUUUCUAUUUUGCUGGUAUUUUCAAAAGUAUUAACAUAGAUGUAUAUAUUUAUAUUGUCUUCUAAUCUGAGAUGGUAAAUAUUUUUCUCUUCCUUCUUUUUUCUUAGAUAAAAUGUUAAAGGGUUAUCCUUUAUUGGGUGAUUUGCCUUCUCCCACCCUGCCCAAGAAUUAGCACUUUGCAUUUUCGCUUUUUUUCAUACAAUAUUUGUUCAUAUCAUUAACUCCCUCAUAUUUAUGUACAUAAAUUAUUGGUGUUUUUUCUAUUGUCUUAAAUAUAAGGCUGAGCUCCUUUACAUUUUUUUCAUUUAAUAUGUCUGUAAUUUAAAGCUAAGCAUCUCAUAUCAGUUUCUGCAGCCUCUCUCAAGUUUUGCUAUGUAGUGUUCUCACUGUUAAUAUGUUCUAAAUCAUCUGCAAGUCUACCUUUUACAUCCUCCUUGACCCAAAGUGAUUCCCUCUAUCUACUGCUUCCACACAUUUCAAGAUAUUCCCAUCACUGGAGUUAUUCACAGUUGAAUGAAAUGACAGUGAAAAGACUGAUGGAUUGAUUUUUCAUGCUAGAUAUCUAAAGUUUAUUUGGUGAGAGAUGCCAAUCAAUAAUUUUGGCUCAUUCUUUAGAUGGGGUCAACCAAGCCAUUACUGAUGAUUUCCAUCAAAGUUGCUCAGUUCACUGAGGGGGGUUUCCCAUGAGUCUUCGGCUCUUCAGCUCUUCAGCACUCAUUGUGCCAGUAAUGCUCUUGGAACAAUUUUUUGUUGUUAAGAGACAGAGUCUUGUUCUGUCACCCAGGCUGGAAUGCAGUAGCAUGAUUAUAGCUUACUAAAGCCUUGAAUUCCUGGGCUCAAGCGAUCCUCCCGCCUCAGCCUCCCAAGGAGCUGGAACUACAGGCAUGUGCCACCCCACCAGGCUAAUUUUUUUUUUUUAACUUUUUUUGUAGAGACAGGGUCUUGUUUUAUUUCCCAAGCUGGUCUCAAACUCCUAGCCUCAAGUGAUCCUUCUGCCUUGGCCUCCCACAGCACUGGGAUUACAGGCAUGAGCCACCACACUAGGCUUGGAACAAUUCUUAAGUUCACUCUGACCUCUCCCUUUCUUAUCACUUCAUGGGAGUUUAGUUAGUGCUCACUUGGGAGGCCAAGGCAGGAGGGCAGAUCACCUGAGGUCAGGAGUUUGAGACCAGCCUGGCCAACAUGGCAAAACCCCAUCUCUACUAAAAACACAAAA
Molecule: long non-coding RNA, 1232 nt
Filed under: Homo sapiens (human)
Lineage: Eukaryota; Metazoa; Chordata; Mammalia; Primates; Hominidae
Description: HSALNT0113147
Source: RNAcentral